ACGGGAGGCAGCAGUGGGGGAUAUUGCACACUGGGCGCCAGCCUGAUGCAGCGACGCCGCGUGAGUGAAGAAGUAUUUCGGUACGUAAAGCUCUAUCAGCAGGGAAGAUAAUGACGGUACCUGACUAAGAAGCCUCGGCUAACUACGUGCCAGCAGCCGCGGUAAUACGUAGGGGGCAAGCGUUAUCCGGAUUUACUGGGUGUAAAGGGAGUGUGGGUGGCCUGGCAAGCCAGAUGUGAAAGCCCGCGGCUCAACCGCGGGACUGCAUUUGGAACUGUUAGGCUUGAGUGCAGGAGAGGAAAGUGGAAUUCCUAGUGUAGCGGUGAAAUGCGUAGAUAUUAGGAGGAACACCAGUGGCGAAGGCGGCUUUCUGGACUGUAACUGACACUGAGGCUCGAAAGCGUGGGGAGCAAACAGGAGUAGAUACCCUGGUA
This 434-nucleotide ribosomal RNA is filed under the name uncultured Lachnospiraceae bacterium. RNAcentral's name for it is "bacterial SSU rRNA". It matches the Rfam family "Bacterial small subunit ribosomal RNA", at positions 341 to 792 of the family's 1533-position model. The record is from RNAcentral. Lineage: Bacteria; Bacillati; Bacillota; Clostridia; Lachnospirales; Lachnospiraceae.